RNAcentral lists this RNase P RNA (362 nucleotides) under Candidatus Pelagibacter sp. Its description in RNAcentral is "RNase P RNA component class A". It matches the Rfam family "Bacterial RNase P class A". From Rfam's summary of the family: Ribonuclease P (RNase P) is a ubiquitous endoribonuclease, found in archaea, bacteria and eukarya as well as chloroplasts and mitochondria. The record is from RNAcentral. Lineage: Bacteria; Pseudomonadati; Pseudomonadota; Alphaproteobacteria; Candidatus Pelagibacterales; Candidatus Pelagibacteraceae.
CCAGAUAAAUGACUUAUCGCUUUAAUUUAAUUUAAUUUAAAGAGGAAAGUCCGGGCUCUACAAGGACACAGUGCCAGGUAAUACCUGGCGGGGGCAACCCUAGGGAUAGUGCCACAGAAAAUAUACCGCCAUAACAUGGCAAGGGUGAAAAGGUGUGGUAAGAGCACACCGGUUCUAUUGGUAACAAUGAACGCUGGAAAACCCCACUGGGAGCAAGACUAAGUAGAGAUGACAUUGUUGAAAAACUAAAAGCCGUCCUUGGCUAGUCAUCAGGGUUAGUUGCUUGAGCUUAAGAGUGAUCUUAAGCCUAGACAAAUGAUAGGUUUAAAUGACAGAACCCGGCUUAUAGUUUAUCUGGCAAA